ACAUAGGAAUUAAAGAGAUAAAUAGAACACCACAUAUCAAAGUUUGGAGGAUUUUGUUUAUAACUGCUUUUGUUGGAGAUGGUUCAAUAACAUUAACUUGGUUUGAAGCAUCAUCGUUGAACCCCUGCAAAAAAUAAAAUAAAUGAUUGUGUCCUUUGAAAUGAUUUCCAUGAAUAUAAUCAAUAUAAUCACAAUAAACAACAGCUGGACCCGCCAAUAAUGUUUGGAACUGGAAGAUAAAGGCAAAAUAUUCUAAUGCUGAUGGUAUUACUUUUAUAGCAUGUCGUUUUUGCAGUGGUGUUAAGUCUUCUUCUCGUCGAGCAAUUCCAUCAUGAAUGUUGAAUGCAGUGCUGGUUACUUUCUGAGUGAUCACCAUUAAUGGACCUUGAAAAAAUCAUUUUGUCAUAUCUAUACAAUAAUUAAUUUCAUGAAUAUAUUACCUGUUAUGUCCAAAGUAUAGUAUCCAUAGGUAUACAUGAUUCGGUAAAUAUGAAUAAAUGAAAGAUAGCCAAGUGCUAAGACAAGAACUAUCCUGAAAAAUAGGAGAAUAAUUAAAUAUUAUCACAAUUUUUUUAAAUUAGUUAUUACAAUGUACUUAGACAAAGUAUUCACCGAUGUAUGUAUCGUGGAUCUUGAGUUCGUAUUACGAUGUAACAUAAUGCCGGAAGUCCUGCCAAAUGAAGAGCCUGCCUGAAAUAAUAGAUUAUAUAUUUUUAAUAAGGAGUAAUUUGAUGAUGUUCAUUAAUCUAAUAAGAAAAAAAAACUCACCAGCCGAAGCAAAAAUAACCAAGCGAGAGACCUACAAUGAGGCCAAAAGAAUGUCGAACAACAGGACCGACUUCUUGUGGUUUGAAGUAGAUUCUCAGAAUUCCAGCAAGAAAUAGAGAAGUAAAUUGACUUAUCACAAAGUUCACCUGAUGAAUGUAAGUAAUAUUUACUUUAGAAAAUAAAAUGUAAUUAUAGUCUAUUAGUUUAAUUACUAUAAUUAUCUUGUAAAUCACAGCUUUAAUGACAAUACUACUAAUAAAUAAUAUAACGUUUAAUGUGAUUUUAACGAGUUUAUUGAAAUAAUUCAUAAAUUAAUAAUACAGUUUACCAAUUAUCUUAAUAAUUUUUUAAACACAAAAACAUUUAGUAAAAAAAUUAAUAUUCGGUAGUGAGUUCUUCUUCUCCUUCUCCAUCAGCAUCUCGACGGAAUCUCAUUCCAAAAGUAGCUCCAACAUUAGGAUUAAAAUGACCACCAGGACCUUGCUGAACUCCGCCAUGUGCUCUCAAAAAUGUAUUUGGGUUUGGCUUCCAUUCGUAUUUAGCACCACCUUGAGGGUAAAAGUGUCUGAAAUCUGGAGAUGAUACUCCACCAAAAGCUUCCAAUUUAGAUUUAUCAUUGCCAAAUAUUCUCUGGUUAUAAUCCAAUUGAAGUGAAGGUUUUUCAUGUUCUGGUUUCAUCACGGAAGCUUCGACAGAUCCUUGAGGAGAACGCCGGAAUCUGUAGAUCUAAUAAAAAAAGAGGAAUUGAUAAGAGUGAUAAUCAAAUGUUGAUAAAAGUGACAUUGUAAAUGUAGUAACUUACCGGUGGAUACCUUGGUCGUGGAUUGAAUGGUGGAGUCGUUGGAAUUGGAAAUAUUGGAUGGAUUGGGAUUGGUCUUCUCAAUGGAUUAUUAAAUUCAUUGUAAGGAUCUGCUACAACAUAACAGACUGCUGCGACCAGCAUGAAUAAUAUUUUAAAUGAUGCUUGCAUUUCGGAUGAUUUAGUAAGCUAAAAAUUUUAUGAAAAUUAAAAUAUUAAUUAUUUAAUAGAAAUUUAAUGAUUUUUCAAAUUUAUAAUUAUUUUUGAUUAAAUUUUUGGUAUCUACUUACUUCUUGUAGUUUAUCUUCCUAUUGGAAAUACUUGAAGACUUAUGAUGCUUGUGAAGCAUAUUGGUUAGCUUUUAUACUCAAUUUUGUAAAGGAAAGUUCUUAGAAGUUAUACUUUUCUUUCUUUCUUUCUUCUUUUCAUUUUGAUCCGGGGAAUCCUCAUCGUUCAACUUUUCUUUUAUUCUCGAAUUUAUUCGAUCAGAAUGAUUUGCAUAAUGCAUCAUAAUUUUUUGUUUGUACACGACAGAUAAUAUUACACAGGGAGUCCCCUAACAAUGUAUCAACUACACACUAACUUACAUAUAUGAUUAUGAUGAAGAAGUGGGGAAUAUCAACAGAUGAGUCGAAUCUCUCCUUCUAUAAAUUCUCGUUCAACCGUUGUUCAGUAUUUCAUUCGUUCGCAUAAUAAUACCGAAGUAAGAUAGAGUGAACUUGACAUUAGGCUUGUCAAGAUCUGAUCUAUUAAGUGAUAGUUAUUAGCUACAAGAUAUUGUCAAUUAAAAAAAAGUUUUUAACUUUUUUUUUUUAUUUCUUGCAAAAAUAAAAUUAUCUA
Molecule: long non-coding RNA, 2407 nt
Filed under: Chelonus insularis
Lineage: Eukaryota; Metazoa; Arthropoda; Insecta; Hymenoptera; Braconidae
Description: uncharacterized LOC118073486
Source: RNAcentral